RNAcentral lists this ribosomal RNA (497 nucleotides) under uncultured bacterium. Its description in RNAcentral is "partial 16S ribosomal RNA". It matches the Rfam family "Bacterial small subunit ribosomal RNA", at positions 28 to 507 of the family's 1533-position model. The record is from RNAcentral.
GACGAACGCUGGCGGCGUGCCUAAUACAUGCAAGUUGAGCGCUGAAGGUUGGUACUUGUACCAACUGGAUGAGCAGCGAACGGGUGAGUAACGCGUGGGGAAUCUGCCUUUGAGCGGGGGACAACAUUUGGAAACGAAUGCUAAUACCGCAUAAAAACUUUAAACACAAGUUUUAAGUUUGAAAGAUGCAAUUGCAUCACUCAAAGAUGAUCCCGCGUUGUAUUAGCUAGUUGGUGAGGUAAAGGCUCACCAAGGCGAUGAUACAUAGCCGACCUGAGAGGGUGAUCGGCCACAUUGGGACUGAGACACGGCCCAAACUCCUACGGGAGGCAGCAGUAGGGAAUCUUCGGCAAUGGACGAAAGUCCGACCGAGCAACGCCGCGGGAGUGAAGAAGGGUUUCGGAUCGUAAAACUCGGUUGGUAGAGAAGAACGUUGGUGAGAGUGGAAAGCUCAUCAAGUGACGGUAACUACCCAGAAAGGGACGGCUAACUACGUG